This 250-nucleotide ribosomal RNA is filed under the name uncultured bacterium. Its description in RNAcentral is "partial 16S ribosomal RNA". It matches the Rfam family "Bacterial small subunit ribosomal RNA", at positions 29 to 294 of the family's 1533-position model. The record is from RNAcentral.
AACGAACGCUGGCGGUAUGCUUAACACAUGCAAGUCGAACGGAUUUUGGGGCAACUCAAAGUUAGUGGCAAACGGGUGAGUAAUGUAGAGGAAUCUCCCUAGCAGUAAGGAAUAAUCUCGGGAAACUGAGACUAAUACCAUAUAUUACCGACCUAGUCGGGAAAGAUUUAUCGCUGUUAGAUGAGCCUCUAUCGGAUUAGCUAGUUGGCGGGGUAAAUGCCCACCAAGGCGAUGAUCCGUAGCUGGUCUG